Molecule: ribosomal RNA, 1812 nt
Filed under: Triticum aestivum (bread wheat)
Lineage: Eukaryota; Viridiplantae; Streptophyta; Magnoliopsida; Poales; Poaceae
Description: partial small subunit ribosomal RNA
Source: RNAcentral
AUGGAUUUCAUGAAGGCCUUCGAUCAGACCGUGCGGGAGAUAAAGAGGGAGGUCAAUCUCAAGGUGCUCAAGGUCCCCGAGCUCGAACAGAAGGUACUUGACGCGACAAGUGAUGAACCUUGGGGUCCACACGGGUCUGCUCUUUCAGAGCUAGCUCAGGCCACCAAGAAAUACUCUGAGUGUCAGAUGGUGAUGGGUGUCCUCUGGGCCAGGCUGGGUGAGCGAGAUGCAAACUGGCGUCAUGUGUAUAAGGCACUGACGAUUAUUGAGUACUUGAUAGCGAAUGGUUCUGACCGGGCAGUUGAUGACAUUCUCGAUCAUUAUUCAAAGAUCUCGGUUCUUUCGAGUUUUGAGUUUGUGGAACCUAAUGGAAAAGACUCUGGAAUAAAUGUGAGGAAGAAAGUGGAAACUCUGGUGGGGAUCAUCAAUGAUAAGGAGAGAAUAAAGGCUGUGAGAGAGAAAGCGGCUAGUAACCGUGACAAGUACGUUGGGUUAUCAUCAACUGGGUCAUAUAGAUCAAGCUCAGCCUCUGGAGGUAGCAACUACAGUUCAGGUGAACGCUAUGGCAGUUUUGGUGGCACAAGGGAGGCUGAUUCGUUCAGUAACAGUUACAGGGACAAAGAACCUGUUAAAACCUCUUCAAGUAAUACUGGCAGGCGCAGAUCUGGCAGCAAGAUAAGAAAGGAUGCGGAUCAUGAUAGAAGCUCCUCGAAGUCACCAUCUAACACAAAAGGCAAUGAGGAUGAGUUUGAUGACUUUGAUCCUCGUGGAUCUUCUUCAAAUGGUGCAGCUAAUACAAAGACUGCCGAGGUGGAUCUUCUUGGCCCAAACUUGAUGGAUGAUUUCCUUGACGAGCCUGCAGCCACUCCAUCAGCAAAAAGUGCUGUAGAACCUCAGGUUGAUCUGUUUGCUGAUGCAGACUUCCAAUCGGCAAUCCCAGGUGCCGAAACAACUGCGCAUCAGGAUGUCCAGGAAACUGUUGACCUUUUUUCGGGAAAUGCUACCUUUGCUUCAGCAUUUCCACCACAGACUGGGUUUAUCCCACCACCAACUUCUGGGACACCUUCUAAUGCUAAUACUUCCGUUUCCAAGAACACAGUACCUGAACCAUUUGAUCCUUUCGGUGAUAUUCCUUUAAGCAGUUUUGGGGGAUCUGACCCAUUUGGUGACUUCAGCUCAUCUAGUGCACCACCACCACCUGUACACAGCUCCACUGGAAAUAUUAGCACGUCGAGUCAGAACCUUGAGGCAGCAUCGGACUUUGGUGCCUUUGAAUCAAACACUGUGGAUACAGCUAAAGACCCCUUCGACUUUUCUUCCACUGGCAAUUUUGGCAAAGCAGAUGUAGCACCUUUGGCAGCUCCCAAAACUGAUGCGUCUGACUUUGGUGCCUUCGUUGCAAACACUGUAGAAGCAACUAAAGACCCCUUUGAUCUUUCUUCAAGUAUUAAUGGAAGGGCAGACCAAACACCUUUGGCUGCUCCCAAGCCCAACACCAAGAAAGAAAAUUUUCAGGUUAAAUCUGGCAUAUGGGCUGACUCUUUGAGCCGUGGAUUAAUUGAUCUGAACAUAACUGGACCAAAGAAGGUGAACCUAGCCGAUGUUGGGGUCGUCGGCGGCCUCAGUGAUGGGUUCGACGACAAGGCUCAACCCUCAUGGAACAUGGGUGCAGGGGGAUCUGGCCAACCCUCAUGGAACAUGGGUGCAGGGGGGUCUGGCCUAGGAAUGUCUGGAAUUCCUCCGUCUACGCAAGGCGGUGGCAUCGAGAGCUUGGCAAACUACAACAAGUAUCAGUUUGGUGGCUUCAAAUGA